UAAUAAGUUUUAUUCUUUCUUUUUUGUUAAUUAAAUAUUUAAUUUAUAUGUAUUUUUUUUAUUAUUUUUUUUUUCAGUAAAUAUUUUUGUUUAAAUUAUUUUAAAUUUAUAGUAAUUUAUUUUGUUAUUGAUUAAUUUUGUGCCAGCAUUCGCGGUUAUACACUUAUUUAAAUUUAAUAUUUUAGGUUUUUUAUAUUUUUUUAUGUUAAAUAUUUUUUUUAUUUAGGUUAAAUUUAUAUUUUAAUAUUAAUUUUCUUUAGUUUUUGUAUUUAGUUAUUUGUUUAAACUAGGAUUAGAUACCCUAUUAUAUUUAAUUAAUUUUUUCUUAUUAUUAAAAGUUAAGUUCUUUAAAAUUUUAAGAAUUUGGCGGUUAUUAUAUACUUAUUAGAGGAAUAUGUAUUAUAAUUGAUAAUCCACGAUAUUUUUUACUUAAUUUUUAUUUGUAUAUCUCUAUUUAUUAGAAUUUUUAUCAAUAAUUAAUUUCUUUCUUUUUUAUAAUUAAAUUUUAGGUCAAGGUGCAGUUUUAUUUAAGUAAAUAUGUAUUAUUUUAAUUUUAUAUUUUUUUUAAAAGUUUUCUUAGUUUAAGUUUUUUUGUAUUAGGAUUUAAUAGUAAAUUUAAUUAAUUAAUUAUUUUGAAUUUAGUUCUUAAUAAUGUACAUAUCGCCCGUCACUCCUAUUUAAGGAUAAGUCGUAACAAAGUAGAAUUAUCGGAAGUUGAUUCUAGUAUUAU
RNAcentral lists this non-coding RNA (730 nucleotides) under Krisna concava. Lineage: Eukaryota; Metazoa; Arthropoda; Insecta; Hemiptera; Cicadellidae. The record is from RNAcentral.